RNAcentral lists this ribosomal RNA (253 nucleotides) under uncultured bacterium. RNAcentral's name for it is "partial 16S ribosomal RNA". It matches the Rfam family "Bacterial small subunit ribosomal RNA", at positions 524 to 776 of the family's 1533-position model. The record is from RNAcentral.
AACGUAGGACGCAAGCGUUAUCCGGAGUUACUGGGCGUAAAGGGCGUGUAGGCGGCCCUUCAAGUGGCUCGUGAAAGACUUCGGCUCAACCGGGGGUGGACGGGUCAGACUGGAAGGCUGGAGGAUGUCAGAAGGACACGGAAUUCCGGGUGUAGUGGUGAAAUGCGUAGAGAUCCGGAGGAACACCAGUGGCGCAGGCGGUGUCCUGGGGCGUACCUGACGCUGAGACGCGAAAGCAUGGGGAGCGAACGGG